UACAGAGGAUGCAAGCGUUAUCCGGAAUGAUUGGGCGUAAAGCGUCUGUAGGUGGCUUUUUAAGUCCGCCGUCAAAUCCCAGGGCUCAACUCUGGACAGGCGGUGGAAACUGCCAAGCUGGAGUACGGUAGGGGCAGAGGGAAUUUCCGGUGGAGCGGUGAAAUGCGUAGAGAUCGGAAAGAACACCAACGGCGAAAGCGCUCUGCUGGGCCGACACUGACGCUGAGAGACGAAAGCUAGGGGAGCGAAUGGG
Molecule: ribosomal RNA, 253 nt
Filed under: uncultured bacterium
Lineage: Bacteria
Description: partial 16S ribosomal RNA
Rfam family: Bacterial small subunit ribosomal RNA
Source: RNAcentral